RNAcentral lists this long non-coding RNA (3398 nucleotides) under Bos grunniens (domestic yak). RNAcentral describes it as "lncRNA (ENSBGRG00000008093.1)". Lineage: Eukaryota; Metazoa; Chordata; Mammalia; Artiodactyla; Bovidae. The record is from RNAcentral.
AUCCCUCUGAAGAAGCCCUUCCCCUCCAUCAUCAGCAUCACAUGGCCACUGCUUUUCUUCAAAUAUGAAGGGAACUUCAUCCAGCUCCCCUGGCCCUCUAGCCCAUCAUUGACCUUCCCGCUUCUUCCACAUCGGUUCUCCAGACAGCCGAAGCAUGAUGGUUCGAGAGCCUCCUUCAGGUGAUCCACUUCCCUCAGCCACUUAUGCAGGAAGCUCCCAUCUUCCGUGUCCAGGUUGCACACGAGAAGGAACAGGUGAUCCCCAUAGCCUUGCUGAGCCUCCUCUUCCAGUGCUCCAGUGCUCCAUCCCCGAGGCCCAGGCACACCUGGCUGCAGCUCCGUCUGUGGGGCUGUGAGGAGCGCCCUCUCUCGGCCAAGUCGGAAGCGCAAGGCGGACCCCCUGGAGACCCUCAAACCUGCCCGGCCUUGAACUGGUGUUUCUGGGCGCGUGGAGGGGGCCAGCCCAGCCCAGUCCACCCCUUGGAGACUUGCUGGACCAGCAGCAAGUGUGGUGGGAGCAGAGGCCCAUUCUUUAGGAACACCAGCUGUCCGGGGUGGGGAGACAGUUUCUCUCCUGGGGGAGAGCUUGCUCUGCAGCCAGUGGUCUCCACUUCCCCUGGCAUAUUCCGAUUUCAGAAGUAAAACUGAAUGUCGUCUUCUGAAAAGUUAACUUUCCACUCUCAGUUGAUCAGAGUUAAUAGAUCAAAGUCAAUAGAUCAGAGGGGAACAGGAAGAAUGGCAUAUGUUGGUCCCAACAACAGGCUUGUUUCUGUACUUCUCCGCCUACCUCCCAAUUCCAUUUUCAGUGGCCACUGACCCAGAUCUUAUUCCAGCUUCUUUAUAUUCCCCCAUCUCCAACAUGUAGGUACAAAUGUGCACACACACACACACACACAUACACACACAUAUAUUUCACUCCUACACAGGAUCACACAAGGAAGGAGCAGUAGGAACUUAGCUAAUUCCAAGGAAAGAGAGAAGAAAUUGUGUCCCCAACAGAGGACAUCCAGAAAAUAAUAAUCCCGACAACGACAGGAUCCUCAUCACUAGAAUGAAUGCUACAUCCACACAUUUUAACAUGAAGUGAGCAUUGCAUCUCCUAGCCAGUGUUUGCAAAGGAAUGUAGGGAACUCUGGCAGAGUUGAACACCUUUCAGUGGUGGACCCAACACACACUAGAAACCCCAGUACAUUUCAGACCUCAACUAUCACCUGUUUUGACAAAUCAGAGGCACCCUGGCCCAUCCCAGACCCCUGCCAGCUCUUCAGUGCCUACGAGGUAUGAUCCCUGUAAUAGAGAGCUGGCUCCCCCUUGUGGCCAGAGAGUACCUUGGUGCUAGAUACCCAGGAACUCUCAGGGGACAAAACUUCUCUGAAGCUCACUUGAAACUUUUGGUACAAGGGUGACUGCUAAGGAGCCAAAUAGAUUUCAGUUUUAUGAGAACAGAGUAUUCAACCCUUUAAAGACAGCCAUAAGGGCCCGCUCUAUACCUGUGGGCCUCCAGCCUCUAUUUGAACUCCCUUUUCUUGUUCUACAUCUACAUUUAUGUGGCUACCUCGGGUCUUUAACCAAUGUCCCCUUCCUCAACAUCAUUCCUAUAGGGCCUUCUGAUGGUCAUCCAUUUGGUUUUUAUCCUCCACAAACACCUUUUCCUAACCCUACAAGUCAAGAUGGGUAAAGUCAGGAAAAGGCCCUGCAAAGGCUUUCAGUUUCUCUUUACCCACAGCUCUCCCAUGCACUCUGUUGGGUAAAUUCUUCUCUCCUCUUGGCCUCAUGAGCAGGGUCAGGUCAGAGAAGAUAACCAGCUUUCCAGGACUGGAGGAGGCAAAGCCAACAUGUGCAGUAGGCCUCCUCCCACAUGUGGAAUGGAUAGAGUGCAGGGUCAGAUUUCCCCAAGGCUGAAUGCAGGACUACUCCGGAAGUCCAGAAAGUUUUCCUUUUUGUGUUUUUAGUUUACUUGCCAAGUGCUUGGAUGGCGCAAAGACAGCAAGUGAAUUCACUACAUGUGCAGCUGCAUGUGACACAUGUUAUGAAAAAGGUGGACGACGACUCACCUUGGGAAACUUUAGUGGCUUGGCUAUACUCUGGCACUGUAGAGCAAAGACUAAGGUCCGAUCCCUACCCUGUAGGAACUCACAAGCAUAUAUGAGCAAUUCCAGGAUAGGGCAGAGAUCACUGAAGUGGGUUAGACUACCAGGCUAGGUACAGAGAACUGCCAGAGUUAUUCUGAGGAGAUUACAGAGUAGGCCAAGAGUCAGGGACAAUAUUGAAAGAAGAUUGGGGUGGGGUGAGGGAACAUUCCAAGAAAACCUAGGAAAGUCCGGAGACUCGCAUGGGUGUGUAGAUCGAGUAUCAGAGAGUCAGGUCGUUGUCAGUGGAACCUGAGUUUUAGGAAGAGCUAAAGAGAUUCACAGAUCUUUUUUAGAACUAUCCAGAAACAAAAGAUAAGAUGAUAAUUUUUACCACUGUAUUUUAAAAAAGCAAAUAUCUGAGGUCAGGAACAGCUGGAGAGUAAUCUAUAACACAAGGCAGUAAUUUAUCCUGAAAUGACUAAAAGAGUCUAUCCCAGAAGACUGGGUUGGAUUGUGGAAGAUUAUGGGGAAACAAUUUCCCACUACAUCAAAAGUACUUACUUUUGCUAGAUCAAAAGUAAGAGGUGAGGAGGCAAAAUAUAUCUGGACAUUGCAUAUAAUUCAUAUUUAAUAUAUUUAAAAAUUGAACUCAUGAUUAACAUAUUUUAAAUCAACUAUACCGCAAUAAAACACAACUUUUGAAAAAGAAACAAGAAUGUAAACUAUCAGAAAAAAUAAAGUCCAUCACAAGGCCAGAAGAGGUAAAGGGGGCAUGACAAGUUAAUACAAUAUAAUGCCUUGGGUAUAUCCUGGGCAGAAAAGGGGCAUUAGUGGAAAAACUGAUAAAAUUCAAAUGAAGUUUGGAGUUUAGUUAAUAGUGAAUGUACCAAAUCACAUAGUUUUUUUUAAUGUACCAAAAAAAUGAGAUGAGAUGAGAUGUUAACAUUCAAUGAAACUGGAUACAUGCUAUACAAGAACUCACUGUGCUAUCUUUGCAGCUUUUCUGUAAAUUUAAAAUUUCCAAAAUAAAGUGUUUUUUCUUUUAAGGUCAAAUUUAUUGUCAUAAAAUUAUUUGUAAUAUAGUAUUAUUCUUUUCUGUGUUGGUUAUAUGUUUUAAAUAUAGCAGUGUAUACAUGUCAGUCCCAAACUCCCACUCCAUGCCUCCUGUUCUCCCUCCCCCAGAAACCACAAGUCUGUUCUCUAUAUCUGUAAGUCUAUUUCUGUUUCAUAGAAAGUCCAUUUUAUCAUAUUUUAUUAAUAGUUGCCACAUAUAACUUGAGUAACAAGUAACAUAUUCAGAUUUUGGUUUAUUUUAUAUCCAAUAUUA